Molecule: ribosomal RNA, 497 nt
Filed under: Eimeria ildefonsoi
Lineage: Eukaryota; Apicomplexa; Conoidasida; Eucoccidiorida; Eimeriidae
Description: SSU rRNA
Rfam family: Eukaryotic small subunit ribosomal RNA
Source: RNAcentral
AAUUCCAGCUCCAAUAGUGUAUAUUAGAGUUGUUGCAGUUAAAAAGCUCGUAGUUGGAUUUCUGCUGUGGUCAUCCGGUACCGCCCGUACGGGUGCGCACCUGGUUUGGCUGCGGCUUUCUUCCUGUAGCCUUCCGCGCUUAAUUGCGUGUGUUGUGUUGCGGAACUUUUACUUUGAGAAAAAUAGAGUGUUUCAAGCAGGCUUGUCGCCCUGAAUACUUCAGCAUGGAAUAAUAGGAUAGGACCUUGGUUCUAUUUUGUUGGUUUCUAGGACCAAGGUAAUGAUUAAUAGGGACAGUUGGGGGCAUUCGUAUUUAACUGUCAGAGGUGAAAUUCUUAGAUUUGUUAAAGACGAACUACUGCGAAAGCAUUUGCCAAGGAUGUUUUCAUUAAUCAAGAACGACAGUAGGGGGUUUGAAGACGAUUAGAUACCGUCGUAAUCUCUACCAUAAACUAUGCCGACUAGAGAUAGGGAAACGCCUACCUUGGCUUCUCCUG